GAUGAAGAACGUAGCGAAAUGCGAUAAGUAAUGUGAAUUGCAGAAUUCAGUGAAUCAUCGAAUCUUUGAACGCACAUUGCGCCCGCCAGUAUUCUGGCGGGCAUGCCUGUUCGAGCGUCAUUUCAACCAUCAAGCCCCAGGCUUGUGUUGGGGACCUGCGGCUGCCGCAGGCCCUGAAAGCCAGUGGCGGGCUCGCUGUCACACCGGGCGUAGUAGAUUUUAUCUCGCUCAGGGCGUGCUGCGGGUUCCGGCCGUUAAAAAGCCUUUUUUACCCAAGGUUGACCUCGGAUCAGGUAGGAAGACCCGCUGAACUUAAGCAUAUCAAUAAGCGGAGGA
This 336-nucleotide unclassified non-coding RNA is filed under the name soil metagenome. RNAcentral's name for it is "partial contains 5.8S ribosomal RNA, internal transcribed spacer 2, and large subunit ribosomal RNA". The stretch from base 1 to 120 matches the Rfam family "5.8S ribosomal RNA", at positions 35 to 154 of the family's 154-position model. The record is from RNAcentral.